AAAAAAGGCGGUAUAAAAAGAGAAUAGCUAUACCUUUUACACAUUACUACAAGAACUUUUAAGCUAAAAUUUCUAAUGCAUAUACAAGUUAAUAUCUUGUAUUAUAUAGUAGAGAGAAUUUAUGAGGAACAUGAAAGCAUGCCUACACCGGGACGAUAAGCCCAAGCUGGAGGCAGACGCGCAUACUUCUCCAUGCCAGGUUGUUCG
This 207-nucleotide unclassified non-coding RNA is filed under the name Hevea brasiliensis (rubber tree). Lineage: Eukaryota; Viridiplantae; Streptophyta; Magnoliopsida; Malpighiales; Euphorbiaceae. The record is from RNAcentral.